GUAGAGGCGGCGGAGACGGUUUCUCCAUCUUCCCCCCUCCCCUUCCCCCCUCGGAGUUUCCCUCCCUCCCUCCCUCCCUCCUUCCCAGUCUGGGCACCGGAGCCUGUGACCGCUUCGUUAGUGGAGAGGUAGCUGGCAGUCCGCUUCGGCGGGCCUGUGCCCCGCGCCGUUCUCGGGGCCUCCCUGCUGAGCUCGCGGCUCACGCUGAGAGGGACACGCAGUGACGAGCGGCCGAAGCAGCUUUGCGGUUUUGUAGUGCAUCCCUGAGCAUGAGCACAGAAUGAAGCGGCGUUUGGAUGACCAGGAGUCACCGGUGUAUGCAGCCCAGCAGCGUCGGAUCCCUGGCAGCACAGAGGCUUUUCCUCACCAGCACCGGGUGCUUGCCCCUGCCCCUCCUGUGUAUGAAGCAGUGUCUGAGACCAUGCAGUCAGCUACGGGAAUUCAGUACUCUGUAACACCCAGCUACCAGAGACGUGGUCUCACUCUGUGGCCCAAGCUGGAAUGCAGUGGCAUGAUCAUAGCUCACUGCAGCCUUGAACUCCUGAGUUCAGGCGAUCUUCCUAUGUAGGUUUCAGCCAUGCCACAGAGCUCCGGCAGUCAUGGGCCCGCUAUAGCAGCAGUUCAUAGCAGCCAUCAUCACCCAACAGCGGUGCAGCCCCACGGAGGCCAGGUGGUCCAGAGUCAUGCUCAUCCAGCCCCACCAGUUGCACCAGUGCAGGGACAGCAGCAAUUUCAGAGGCUGAAGGUGGUAUUCAGCUCUUUUUCUUGGGUCAAAAAAUUUAUCUUUAGCAGGAAAUACUGGUUGCAGCUUGUUGGUUGUGGUGGUACAACUUCUAACCUGAGAUACUAGCUGUCGAAUCACAAGUUUUACCGUUUUUGUUUUGUGAAAUUUGCUUAUGUUUCCUAUCUUGGCAUCAGUGCCUGAUCCAGAGAAGAAUAUACUCAAAUGUUUGUGGACUGUAUGAAUGCAUGUCGGUCAAAUGUUAUCAGGAUUGUGGGGCCAUUUUAAUACAAAAUAAACCUUAAAAUUC
Molecule: long non-coding RNA, 1031 nt
Filed under: Homo sapiens (human)
Lineage: Eukaryota; Metazoa; Chordata; Mammalia; Primates; Hominidae
Description: long non-coding RNA NONHSAT171793.1
Source: RNAcentral